ACGGCGAGUGAAGCGGCAACAGCUCAAAUUUGAAAUCUGGCCCCUUCGGGGUCCGAGUUGUAAUUUGUAGAAGAUGUUUCGGGUGCGGCGGCGGUCUAAGUCCCUUGGAACAGGGCGUCGCAGAGGGUGAGAAUCCCGUAUGUGACCGGCGACCAACCCCGGGUGAAACUCCUUCGACGAGUCGAGUUGUUUGGGAAUGCAGCUCAAAAUGGGUGGUAAAUUUCAUCUAAAGCUAAAUACCGGCCAGAGACCGAUAGCGCACAAGUAGAGUGAUCGAAAGAUGAAAAGCACUUUGGAAAGAGAGUUAAACAGUACGUGAAAUUGUUGAAAGGGAAGCGCUUGCGACCAGACCUGCCCGCGGACGAUCAGCGGGGGUUCUCCCCCGCGCACUCGCCCGUGAUCAGGCCAGCAUCGGUUCUGGCGGCCGGAUAAAGACCCUCGGAAUGUGACUCCCCCUGGGGAGUGUUAUAGCCUGGGGUGCAAUACGGCCAGCCGGGACCGAGGACCGCGCUUCGGCUAGGAUGCUGGCGUAAUGGUCGUAAGCGACCCGUCUUGAAACACGGACCAAGGAGUCUAACAUCUAUGCGAGUGUUUGGGUGUCAAACCCACACGCGGAAUGAAAGUGAACGGAGGUGGGAACCCUUCAGGGCGCACCAUCGACCGAUCCAGAAGUUUACGGAUGGAUUUGAGUAUGAGCAUAGCUGUUGGGACCCGAAAGAUGGUGAACUAUGCCUGAAUAGGGUGAAGCCAGAGGAAACUCUGGUGGAGGCUCGCAGCGGUUCUGACGUGCAAAUCGAUCGUCAAAUUUGGGUAUAGGGGCGAAAGACUAAUCGAACCAUCUGAACCCAACCUACCGGAUGAUUUGGACGGGCUGCAUUGCCAGCCCGGGGAGUCCCUUCGGGGGCCACAUCGCUAGAUUCUGGGUAUGCCUCCGGGCGACCCGUGGCGGGGUAUGCAGCCCCGUUCACAGACUAAACAGCGGUGGUCGCGGGCGGGGUUCCGCCCGCGAUUGCAAGAUAGUCGGUUUCCCU
Molecule: ribosomal RNA, 1031 nt
Filed under: Mycobilimbia carneoalbida
Lineage: Eukaryota; Fungi; Ascomycota; Lecanoromycetes; Lecideales; Lecideaceae
Description: eukaryotic LSU rRNA
Rfam family: Eukaryotic large subunit ribosomal RNA
Source: RNAcentral